UCAAAGGCUCUUUUAAGAGCCACCCACCCUCUCAAAUAAAGAGUUG
Molecule: regulatory RNA element, 46 nt
Organism: Felis catus (domestic cat)
Lineage: Eukaryota; Metazoa; Chordata; Mammalia; Carnivora; Felidae
Rfam family: Histone 3' UTR stem-loop
About the family: The mRNAs of metazoan histone genes lack a poly-A tail. 3' end processing occurs at a site between a highly conserved stem-loop (modelled by this family) and a purine rich region around 20 nts downstream (the histone downstream element, or HDE). The stem-loop is bound by a 31 kDa stem-loop binding protein (SLBP - also termed the histone hairpin binding protein, or HBP).
Source: Rfam